RNAcentral lists this long non-coding RNA (351 nucleotides) under Salmo salar (Atlantic salmon). Its description in RNAcentral is "lncRNA (ENSSSAG00000117380.1, ENSSSAG00075015419.1)". Lineage: Eukaryota; Metazoa; Chordata; Actinopteri; Salmoniformes; Salmonidae. The record is from RNAcentral.
CAAAGGUGAUGGAUACAAUUUGGGUUUUUAACUUUCCUGAUCGGGACAGUCACGCAAUACUGGAAUAUAAAAGAAAACCAGAAACCCUGAACAUGUAGCUGCCCGGCUGUCUCUUUCUCCAUGGCUGACAGGAGUGUUAAUCUAUCCAUAAGACAGUGUGAGACCCCUUCUGCCACCUCCUUGCCUCUGCUUCCCCUGCUCUCUGGACAGGAUUUAUUCACUCACAUCUCCCCCAUCACCCUGAGCAUCGGUCCUUACAGAAUGCUGAAGCCACCAAACGAAGCAUCGGGGAGUGCAGACUUUCUGGGUGGUGUGAUGUCGGAUCCGUGGGCUGCCACCAAUGGAAGCGGG